CAUAACACUGAGAAAUUGGUACUAAUUCCCCAUAAUAUUCGGAGAGGCAUCUCUCCGGGUUGAAAACUCCGGUGGUUAUAGAUGGACAUGCGUUGUAUUAGCUAGUUGGUGAGGUAACGGCUCACCAAGGCAACGAUACAUAGGGGGACUGAGAGGUUAACCCCCCACACUGGUACUGAGACACGGACCAGACUCCUACGGGAGGCAGCAGUGAGGAAUAUUGGUCAAUGGACGCAAGUCUGAACCAGCCAUGCCGCGUGCAGGAAGACGGCUCUAUGAGUUGUAAACUGCUUUUGUACGAGGGUAAACUCACCUACGUGUAGGUGACUGAAAGUAUCGUACGAAUAAGGAUCGGCUAACUCCGUGCCAGCAGCCGCGGUAAUACGGAGGAUUCAAGCGUUAUCCGGAUUUAUUGGGUUUAAAGGGUGCGUAGGCGGUUUGAUAAGUUAGAGGUGAAAUCCCGGGGCUUAACUCCGGAACUGCCUCUAAUACUGUUAGACUAGAGAGUAGUUGCGGUAGGCGGAAUAUAUGGUGUAGCGGUGAAAUGCUUAGAGAUCAUACAGAACACCGAUUGCGAAGGCAGCUUACCAAACUAUAUCUGACGUUGAGGCACGAAAGCGUGGGGAGCAAACAGGAUUAGAUACCCUGGUAGUCCACGCAGUAAACGAUGAUAAAUUGAUUGUCGGCGAUACACCAGUCGGUGACUAAGAAAAAGCGAAAAUUAUCCCACCUGGGGAGUACGUUCGCAAGAAAGAAACUCAAAGGAAUUGACGGGGGCCCGCACAAGCGAGGGAACAUGUGGUUUAAUUUGAUGAUACGCGAGGAACCUUACCCGGGCUUGAAAGUUACUGACGAUUCUGGAAACAGGAUUUCCCUUCGGGGCAGGAAACUAGGUGCUGCAUGGUUGUCGUCAGCUCGUGCCGUGAGGUGUCGGGUUAAGUCCCAUAACGAGCGCAACCCCUACCGUUAGUUGCCAUCAGGUCAAGCUGGGCACUCUGGCGGGACUGCCGGUGUAAGCCGAGAGGAAGGUGGGGAUGACGUCAAAUCAGCACGGCCCUUACGUCCGGGGCUACACACGUGUUACAAUGGUAGGUACAGAGGGUCGCUACUCCGUGAGGAGAUGCCAAUCUCGAAAGCCUAUCUCAGUUCGGAUUGGAGGCUGAAACCCGCCUCCAUGAAGUUGGAUUCGCUAGUAAUCGCGCAUCAGCCAUGGCGCGGUGAAUACGUUCCCGGGCCUUGCA
RNAcentral lists this ribosomal RNA (1241 nucleotides) under uncultured bacterium. Its description in RNAcentral is "bacterial SSU rRNA". It matches the Rfam family "Bacterial small subunit ribosomal RNA", at positions 142 to 1385 of the family's 1533-position model. The record is from RNAcentral.